Long non-coding RNA from Coregonus clupeaformis (lake whitefish), 915 nucleotides. RefSeq lists it as uncharacterized. The record is from RefSeq and is a predicted model, not a curated record. NCBI's taxonomy places the organism in Eukaryota, Metazoa, Chordata, Actinopteri, Salmoniformes, Salmonidae. The transcript has 3 exons.
UUUUUCCAUAGUGGAUUUUAGAACGUCUUCAAAUAACAACUGUGUUUCGUGUAGGCUUACCCUGGCGUGACGUUUUGAUGUUUAUCAAUAAAUUCGCCUGAAUUUACCCUCCAAAAAUGAAACGCUAAUUAGCCGCUAAUGUGGCUAUCAUACAGAACUACAAAUGGCAGUCUCAAGCUUCAUGUCACUCUGGGCCAUGAUGAUUUGACUGCUGAAUUGAGGCAAAGACGCAAGCCUGAAGACAUUCAAGCAGCACUUUGAGAGCAAGCAUCCCAAGUCUCAAAUGUUCCCAGAACUGGUUGAUGUGCAGGCCUAAGUGACUAAACACACUCAAAUGGACCUACAGCUGGGUCACAUGAUGACCACGAGUUGAAUGCUGCAGCUGAGACGGAAUGAUGUCGAAUGACACACGCUGAGAACCUGAGUGACUGGACAUGGGAGGGCCUGAUAUUUGUGACCACGACCUAAAAGGGUUGCAGAAGCACACCAGCACCCCCAUUUAUGUGUAUUGUAUGGCCAACCACCUCUCUAGUUGCACCUUAUUCCACACUAUACCUUUUAUGCCUCAUGGACCCUCAACUUCAGACACUUUGGAAUUCUCUAUCUUAUCUCUAUAAACCCACCCCACCUUCACUGAUUUUCCAUAUGCUGCUUCCUUCACUUGUUCUUCUCCUGAUUAGAUUUGUUUCACCUGUGCAACGCUGUUCUCCUGUUUAUGGGGUUCAGACUGAAUCCAGUGGUAAAUGUGCUCCUUACAAUUGACAGCAGCAACAUGGACCUGGUUAAAUUGUCAAGAAGGGUGUUGAUAUAGCUGCGUAUAGGCAUGGCUUUCUUGUUUUUAAGUCUGUGUAUUUCUAUUUCUCAUUCUGCUGGAGUUGACCUAGUAUUUUAUAUUAAACCUACCUUACAUAUCCA